This 494-nucleotide ribosomal RNA is filed under the name uncultured bacterium. RNAcentral describes it as "partial 16S ribosomal RNA". It matches the Rfam family "Bacterial small subunit ribosomal RNA", at positions 28 to 507 of the family's 1533-position model. The record is from RNAcentral.
GACGAACGCUGGCGGCGUGCUUAACACAUGCAAGUCGAACGGUGAAGCGCCUUCCUUUUUGGUGGGUGUGGAUGAGUGGCGAACGGGUGAGUAACACGUGAGUAACCUGCCCCCUUCUUCUGGAUAACCGCAUGAAAGUGUGGCUAAUACGGGAUAUUCUGGGUCUGUCGCAUGAUGGGUCUGGGAAAGAUAUUGUUUCGGUGGGGGAUGGGCUCGCGGCCUAUCAGCUUGUUGGUGGGGUGAUGGCCUACCAAGGCGGUGACGGGUAGCCGGCCUGAGAGGGUGGACGGUCACACUGGGACUGAGACACGGCCCAGACUCCUACGGGAGGCAGCAGUGGGGAAUAUUGCACAAUGGGCGCAAGCCUGAUGCAGCGACGCCGCGUGAGGGAUGGAGGCCUUCGGGUUGUGAACCUCUUUCGCCAGUGAAGCAGGCCUGCCUCGUAUGUGGGUGGGUUGACGGUAGCUGGAUAAGAAGCGCCGGCUAACUACGUG